AUUAUGCUACCUUUGCACAGUUAAAAUACUGCGGCCAUUUAAAAAUUUUCAGUGGGCAGGUUAGACUUUAAAUUUAAUUCAAAAAGACAUGUUUUUGUUAAACAGGCGAAUAUUAUUUUUGCCGAAUUCUUUACUUAAACUUAUCAUUUAAAUUUAUUUUACAAUAAAAUAUACUAAUUCUAUCAUUAUUUCUUAAUUUAAAAAAUUAAAAUUAAUAUUUCAAUAAAAAUUUAAAAUAUAAUAAAUAAUUUAAUUUAUAAAAUAAAUUAUAACACAAUUUUUAAUAAUUGCUAAUUCUAAGCAUAUAUAUUUUAAAUUUAUUUAUUAUUUUUAAAAAUUUAUUUUAUAGCUUAUCCCAUAAAAUAUUAAAAUUAUAAAUUAUUUAAUUAAAAAAUUUUUUAAAUAAAUUUAUAAUUUCUAAAUUAAAUUUAUUUCUUGAAAAACUAGAUACCUUUAAAAACGAAUAACAUUUCAUUUCUAAUAUAAUAUUUAAAAUAAUUUUAUUACAUUAACUUUAAUAUUAUAUUAACUCUUUUAAAAUCGAGAAAAAUAUAUUUAAAUAUUUUUUAUUUAAUAAACGCUGAUACACAAGGUACAAUAAAUUAAAUUUUCUUUUAAAAUAAAAAUUUUUCAAAAUAUUUCAAUUUUCUUUUACAAUACUAUUAAACUAUUAUUAAAAUUAUUUUUUCUUUAAACAAUACUAAAACUUUUUCUUAUAUAAUUAUUUUUAAUAUUCUAAAAUAAAAUAAAUAAAAUUAAUAAAUAAAAUCUAA
Molecule: ribosomal RNA, 773 nt
Filed under: Drosophila virilis
Lineage: Eukaryota; Metazoa; Arthropoda; Insecta; Diptera; Drosophilidae
Description: partial 16S ribosomal RNA
Source: RNAcentral